GAUGAACGCUGGCGGUAUGCUUAACACAUGCAAGUCGAACGGACUCUUCGGAGUUAGUGGCGGACGGGUGAGUAACGCGUGAGAAUCUGGCUUUGGGUUCGGGACAACCACUGGAAACGGUGGCUAAUACCGGAUGUGCCGAGAGGUAAAAGAGAAAUUGCCUGAAGAUGAGCUCGCGUCUGAUUAGCUAGUUGGUGAGGUAAAGGCUCACCAAGGCAGCGAUCAGUAGCUGGUCUGAGAGGAUGACCAGCCACACUGGGACUGAGAUACGGCCCAGACUCCUACGGGAGGCAGCAGUGGGGAAUUUUCCGCAAUGGGCGAAAGCCUGACGGAGCAAUACCGCGUGAGGGAAGAAGGCUCUUGGGUUGUAAACCUCUUUUCUUAGGGAAGAACAAAAUGACGGUACCUAAGGAAUCAGCAUCGGCUAACUCCGUG
This 435-nucleotide ribosomal RNA is filed under the name uncultured bacterium. Its description in RNAcentral is "partial 16S ribosomal RNA". It matches the Rfam family "Bacterial small subunit ribosomal RNA", at positions 28 to 507 of the family's 1533-position model. The record is from RNAcentral.